UCGGGAAUUUUGGGCAAUGGGCGCAAGCCUGAUCCAGCCAUGCCGCGUGAGUGACGAAGGCCUUAGGGUUGUAAAGCUCUUUUGUCGGGGACGAUAAUGACGGUACCCGAAGAAUAAGCUCCGGCUAACUUCGUGCCAGCAGCCGCGGUAAUACGAAGGGAGCUAGCGUUGUUCGGAAUCACUGGGCGUAAAGCGCACGUAGGCGGAUUUGUAAGUCAGGGGUGAAAUCCCGGGGCUCAACCUCGGAACUGCCUCUGAUACUGGCUGUCUCGAGGUCGAGAGAGGUUGGUGGAAUUCCUAGUGUAGAGGUGAAAUUCGUAGAUAUUAGGAAGAACACCAGUGGCGAAGGCGGCCAACUGGCUCGAUACUGACGCUGAGGUGCGAAAGCGUGGGGAGCAAACAGGAUUAGAUACCCACGUAGUCCCUGAGCGGGCUGGCAAGGCGCAU
This 447-nucleotide ribosomal RNA is filed under the name uncultured bacterium. Its description in RNAcentral is "bacterial SSU rRNA". It matches the Rfam family "Bacterial small subunit ribosomal RNA", at positions 355 to 825 of the family's 1533-position model. The record is from RNAcentral.